Molecule: ribosomal RNA, 239 nt
Filed under: uncultured bacterium
Lineage: Bacteria
Description: partial 16S ribosomal RNA
Rfam family: Bacterial small subunit ribosomal RNA
Source: RNAcentral
UGAGCAAUCUGCCCUUCUCUUUGGAAUAAGCGUGGGAAACCGCGUCUAAUGCCGAAUACGACCUCCUUUCGCAUGAUCGGAGGUGGAAAGCUCCGGCGGAGAAGGAUGAGCUCGCGGCCUAUCAGCUAGUUGGUGUGGGUAAUGGCCCACCAAGGCGACGACGGGUAGCCGGCCUGGAGAGGGUGACCGGCCACACUGGGACUGAGACACGGCCCAGACCUCCGUACGGGGAGGNAGCG